Molecule: transfer RNA, 70 nt
Filed under: Podarcis lilfordi (Lilford's wall lizard)
Lineage: Eukaryota; Metazoa; Chordata; Lepidosauria; Squamata; Lacertidae
Description: tRNA.Asn
Rfam family: tRNA (bases 3-63)
About the family: Transfer RNA (tRNA) molecules are approximately 80 nucleotides in length.
Source: RNAcentral
GGGUGGCACAGUGGGUUAGUGCAUCUGACUGUUAACCAGAAGGUUGUUGGUUUGAGCCCACCCAGAGGUG